CUAGAGAGGUGAACAUAAACAUAGAGAAUUACCUCAUAAUGGAAGGAAGUGUGUGUAGGGCUCUGUCAGUGACAUAGAGAGUGGAAGUUCAGAGAAAGGAGAGAAUAUUGUGAACUAAGCAGCCAGGAAAGGCUGAGACUUGAAAGAUGCUAGGAUAGCAUGAGUCAAGAGGAGAGAGAAAUGCUCAAUGCCCACUGUGAGAAGAUAGCCUUUCCCAGUUGGCAUUGGAGAGUAGUGGGACAUCAUACCAUGGUGACAAGGGUAAUCUACCCUUCAGAGUCCCAACUAUCGUCAAAGGAUGACACUGCCACCAUAUGGCUCUCUAGGCACUCCCACACAAUGGACUCUGAGACUGACUGCAUUUUCCAAAAAUAGACACAGCAAUAUUUCUGGUCCCACGUGCUGUUCCAGAACGCUGCCUCUGCCUCAACCAAGAAGUGGAUUUUAUUUCCCCUUCCCUUGAAUUUGAGUGGGACUUCCUUUGUGGGGGCCUCAGUGAAGACACUGCAGUGGAAACAAUGCUGGGUGACUUCAGAGGUUAGGUCAUAAAUAUGACAUGGCUUCCGUCCAUCACUCUCUCUCAGAACACUCACCAUUGGAACUCAGCCGCCAUGUUGUAAGGAAGCCUCAUGUAGAGUUCCAGCAGACAAGCCUAGCUCAGGUACCAGCCAACAGCCAGCGUGAAUCACCAGACAGGUGAAUGAAGACUCCUUUCAGAAGAUUCCAUCCCCAGCCUUUGAAGUGCCCCAGCUGACAGUGAGCAGAGCAGAGACAAGCUAUCCCUGUAAGCUUUGCGUGAACUGCAGAUUCAUGAGAAAAAUAGGUCUCCAGCCUGCCAACCCACUUUGCAGAUUUUGGACUUGCCAAGCCUCCAUAAUCACGUGAGCCAAUUGAAAAAAAUAAAUCCCCUACUAUAUGUAUACACAUGCUAUUGGUUCUGUUUCUCCCCAGAGCCCUGAUGAAUACAGGGCACCUAAUGAGAUUUAUGUUCCAUCAAACAGAAGCAAUCGCUUGGGACUUGAAUUCCAAACCGAUUUAGAGGGGAGCAGGGCAGGGUGCGAGGCAUGUGCUGGUGUGGACAUGGCAGACACUGGGGCCUCCUAGAGCUGCAGCCGCAGUGGCAGAUGGCUUUCUGGUGAUGACCGAAUCGUAGCUCCUUGGUGGCCUACUUCUGCAAUGUGGCUUUGGGAAUAGUUCCUGGAAACUCAGCCUGGAGUUUCUUCAACGACUUCAGUCUUACUAAUGACUGUGGGAGUCCUUUCACGCCCCGUAAUAAAUCCUUCUCUGCGUAAACUAACCAGGGCAUACUCUGCUCUUUGCAAGUGAACCCUGACCGAUGUGGCACGUCGGUCAUUUUAGCUCCGAAACUCCCAUUGUUACCUGAACACAAGAGUAGCACUGAUCUCACAAAGAACCUUCUAUGAAGGCCCACACUGUGAGGGAAAUUAAGCUGAGGCUCUGAGGAAACAGAAACCACACAAUGUCUCUUUCUAUGGUGCAAAGACUAAGUUCACCCAACCCGGAUUUCAUCUCUUACUUACUGUACUCUCCAGAUACCAAUAGGAAUAUGGAACCUCAACAUCCCACUUACAGGACACUAAUUUCACUCCAGACCUAAAGUAGCACCCAAGACAAAGUUCAUUGGGUAGGUAGGAAGAGAGGAAAGGGAACAGGAGCUGCUAAACCAACACUCAG
Molecule: long non-coding RNA, 1695 nt
Organism: Equus caballus (horse)
Lineage: Eukaryota; Metazoa; Chordata; Mammalia; Perissodactyla; Equidae
Source: Ensembl